Molecule: ribosomal RNA, 406 nt
Filed under: uncultured bacterium
Lineage: Bacteria
Description: partial 16S ribosomal RNA
Rfam family: Bacterial small subunit ribosomal RNA
Source: RNAcentral
AUUGAACGCUGGCGGCAGGCCUAACACAUGCAAGUCGAACGAGUGGCGGACGGGUGAGUAAUGUCUGGGAAACUGCCUGAUGGAGGGGGAUAACUACUGGAAACGGUAGCUAAUACCGCAUACCAUCGGAUGUGCCCAGAUGGGAUUAGCUAGUUGGUGGGGUAACGGCUCACCAAGGCGACGAUCCCUAGCUGGUCUGAGAGGAUGACCAGCCACACUGGAACUGAGACACGGCCCAGACUCCUACGGGAGGCAGCAGUGGGGAAUAUUGCACAAUGGGCGAAAGCCUGACGCAGCCAUGCCGCGUGUAUGAAGAAGGCCUUCGGGUUGUAAAGUACUUUCAGGGGGGAGGCGUUACCCACAGAAGAAGCACCGGCUAACUCCGUGCCAGCAGCCGCGGUAAUUC